AUGCGUGAACCUGCCAACUGGAGGAGACCACAUGACUUGGUGACAUUGAGGGUAACGUCAACCGAACACAAAAUGACAAAAAUUGGCCUUUCCAAAUUCAAACUCUUACUCCUCCCUUCCAUUUUUCUCUUCCACCGAACCCUACCCCAUAAGCACCGGCGAGCUCAACCCACACCGGUGUCACUCAACUCGGAAGCCACCAAUAGUGAGAGGGCUUUUAUCCGACUGAAGGUGAGUUACCUAAAGUAGAGAACGGUGGCGCACAUCUCUUUCCGGCAGAAAUUAUACUCUCAACACUCCACAUCUAGCUUCUAACAAAGUCUCUAGUUUCUCUGUGGCUACCCGUGUGCUGAAAAAGGCAGUCCAAUAGGUUGGUCUCUAGGGCUUUUUUUUAUGGUAAACGGUGAGCUACAUAAACAUUGGGGUAACUCUUCCCCUUAAAUCCGCAUCACAAGUAUUAAAAUCACAGAACCUAAACUCUCUACUAUACUCCCUGUUGUUAAGAGCUUAUGUGCUAAUCAAUUAGUCGCUUGAUUUGCUUCCUGAUA
Molecule: long non-coding RNA, 548 nt
Organism: Nelumbo nucifera (sacred lotus)
Lineage: Eukaryota; Viridiplantae; Streptophyta; Magnoliopsida; Proteales; Nelumbonaceae
Source: RefSeq, a predicted model, not a curated record